CCUACGGGAGGCAGCAGUGGGGAAUAUUGCACAAUGGGCGCAAGCCUGAUGCAGCCAUGCCGCGUGUGUGAAGAAGGCCUUCGGGGUGUAAAGCACUUUCAGCGGGGAGGAAGGCGUUAAGGUUAAUAACCUUGGCGAUUGACGUUACCCGCAGAAGAAGCACCGGCUAACUCCGUGCCAGCAGCCGCGGUAAUACGGAGGGUGCAAGCGUUAAUCGGAAUUACUGGGCGUAAAGCGCACGCAGGCGGUCUGUCAAGUCGGAUGUGAAAUCCCCGGGCUCAACCUGGGAACUGCAUUCGAAACUGGCAGGCUAGAGUCUUGUAGAGGGGGGUAAAAUUCCAGGUGUAGCGGUGAAAUGCGUAGAGAUCUGGAGGAAUACCGGUGGCGAAGGCGGCCCCCUGGACAAAGACUGACGCUCAGGUGCGAAAGCGUGGGGAGCAAACAGGAUUAGAUACCCUAGUAGUC
RNAcentral lists this ribosomal RNA (465 nucleotides) under uncultured Klebsiella sp. RNAcentral describes it as "bacterial SSU rRNA". It matches the Rfam family "Bacterial small subunit ribosomal RNA", at positions 338 to 795 of the family's 1533-position model. The record is from RNAcentral. Lineage: Bacteria; Pseudomonadati; Pseudomonadota; Gammaproteobacteria; Enterobacterales; Enterobacteriaceae.